GGACAGAUGUGUAGUAUUAUAGGUGUGGUACUAGACAGAUGGGUUAUGGUUAGUAUUAUAGGUGUGUUACUGGACAGAUGGGUUAGUAUUAUAGGUGUGGUACUGGACAGAUGGGUUAGUAUUAUAGGUGUGGUACUAGACAGAUGGGUUAGUAUUAUAGGUGUGGUACUGGACAGAUGGGUUAGUAUUAUAUGUGUGGUACUAGACAGAUGGGUUAUGGGUAGUAUUAUAGGUGUGGUACAGGACAGAUGGGUUAGUAUUAUAGGUGUGGUACUGGACAGAUGGGUUAGUAUUAUAGGUGUGGUACU
This 308-nucleotide long non-coding RNA is filed under the name Salmo salar (Atlantic salmon). RNAcentral's name for it is "lncRNA (ENSSSAG00000095745.1)". The record is from RNAcentral. Lineage: Eukaryota; Metazoa; Chordata; Actinopteri; Salmoniformes; Salmonidae.